AUUGCUUCUUGGCCUUUUGGCUAAGAUCAAGUGUAUUUUCUGUUAGCUGGAUUUUGUUACUGGAUUUAUGUUAGUUUGGACCUCAA
RNAcentral lists this small nuclear RNA (86 nucleotides) under Otolemur garnettii (small-eared galago). RNAcentral describes it as "U2 spliceosomal RNA". It matches the Rfam family "U2 spliceosomal RNA". Rfam says of the family: U2 is a small nuclear RNA (snRNA) component of the spliceosome (involved in pre-mRNA splicing). Complementary binding between U2 snRNA (in an area lying towards the 5' end but 3' to hairpin I) and the branchpoint sequence (BPS) of the intron results the bulging out of an unpaired adenosine, on the BPS, which initiates a nucleophilic attack at the intronic 5' splice site, thus starting the first of two transesterification reactions that mediate splicing. The record is from Rfam by way of RNAcentral. Lineage: Eukaryota; Metazoa; Chordata; Mammalia; Primates; Galagidae.